CCUCAGUGUCAGUAUCAGUCCAGGUGGUCGCCUUCGCCACUGGUGUUCCUUCCUAUAUCUACGCAUUUCACCGCUACACAGGAAAUUCCACCACCCUCUACCAUACUCUAGCUUGUCAGUUUUGAAUGCAGUUCCCAGGUUGAGCCCGGGGAUUUCACAUCCAACUUAACAAACCACCUACGCGCGCUUUACGCCCAGUAAUUCCGAUUAACGCUUGCACCCUCUGUAUUACCGCGGCUGCUGGCACAGAGUUAGCCGGUGCUUAUUCUGUCGGUAACGUCAAAACAGCAAAGUAUUAAUUUACUGCCCUUCCUCCCAACUUAAAGUGCUUUACAAUCCGAAGACCUUCUUCACACACGCGGCAUGGCUGGAUCAGGCUUUCGCCCAUUGUCCAAUAUUCCCCACUGCUGCCUCCCGUAGGAGUCUGGACCGUGUCUCAGUUCCAGUGUGACUGAUCAUCCUCUCAGACCAGUUACGGAUCGUCGCCUUGGUGAGCCAUUACCUCACCAACUAGCUAAUCCGACCUAGGCUCAUCUGAUAGCGCAAGGCCCGAAGGUCCCCUGCUUUCUCCCGUAGGACGUAUGCGGUAUUAGCGUCCCUUUCGAGACGUUGUCCCCCACUACCAGGCAGAUUCCUAGGCAUUACUCACCCGUCCGCCGCUGAAU
This 665-nucleotide ribosomal RNA is filed under the name Pseudomonas umsongensis. RNAcentral describes it as "partial 16S rRNA". The record is from RNAcentral. Lineage: Bacteria; Pseudomonadati; Pseudomonadota; Gammaproteobacteria; Pseudomonadales; Pseudomonadaceae.